UAGAAUGGGUAUAUAUAUAUAUAUAUAUAUAUAUAUAUAUAUAUAUAUAUACACACACUCAUAUAUAUAUAUACACAUACUCAUAUAUAUAUACUCAUAUAUAUACUCAUAUAUAUAUACUCAUAUAUAUAUACUCAUAUAUAUACUCAUAUAUAUAUAUAUACUCAUAUAUAUACUCAUAUAUAUAUACUCAUAUAUAUACUCAUAUAUAUACUCAUAUAUAUAUACUCAUAUAUAUACUCAUAUAUAUACUCAUAUAUAUACUCAUAUAUAUAUAUACUCAUAUAUAUAUACUCAUAUAUAUACUCUAUAUACUCAUAUAUAUACUCAUAUAUAUACUCAUAUAUAUAUACUCAUAUAUAUAUACUCAUAUAUAUACUCAUAUAUAUAUACUCAUAUAUAUACUUAUAUAUAUAUACUCAUAUAUAUACUCAUAUAUAUAUACUCAUAUAUAUACUCAUAUAUAUAUACUCAUAUAUAUACUCAUAUAUAUAUACUCAUAUAUAUAUACUCAUAUAUAUAUACUCAUA
This 530-nucleotide long non-coding RNA is filed under the name Homo sapiens (human). Its description in RNAcentral is "non-protein coding lnc-NMNAT3-10:1". The record is from RNAcentral. Lineage: Eukaryota; Metazoa; Chordata; Mammalia; Primates; Hominidae.